This 405-nucleotide unclassified non-coding RNA is filed under the name soil metagenome. Its description in RNAcentral is "partial contains 5.8S ribosomal RNA, internal transcribed spacer 2, and large subunit ribosomal RNA". The stretch from base 1 to 121 matches the Rfam family "5.8S ribosomal RNA", at positions 35 to 154 of the family's 154-position model. The record is from RNAcentral.
GAUGAAGAACGUAGCGAAAUGCGAUAAGUAAUGUGAAUUGCAGAAUUCAGUGAAUCAUCGAAUCUUUGAACGCACCUUGCGCCCUUUGGGCAUUCCGAAGGGCAUGCCUGUUUGAGUAUCAUGAACACCUCAACUCUUUAUGGUUUUCCAUGAUGAGCUUGGACUCUGGGGGUUUUGCUGGCUCACAGUCGGCUCCUCUGAAAUGAAUCAGCUUACCAGUGUUUGGUGGGUAUCAUAGGUGUGAUAACUAUCUACGCUUGUGGUUUUUCCACCAGGUAACCUUCAGCAGUGGAGGUUCGCUGGAGCUCAUAGAUGUCUCUCCUCAGUGAGGACAGCCCUUUGAAUGUUUGAUCUCAAAUCAGGUAGGACUACCCGCUGAACUUAAGCAUAUCAAUAAGCGGAGGA